AGCCGAAGACAUACACAUACUUUGGUUAGAAUUAUGAGACAAAGAUUGAGGGAAAUUUGUGGAGUAAGAUCUAGAAAGACUUGAACAAAAAAAAAAAAAACUCUUAAGAAAAAACAGAGUACUUGAAACCAUGGUAUAAAAAAUCGAUAAUAUCGGCGAUAUUUCGCCCAUAUUAUCUUUUUUUUUGGAGUCCGAUAUUUCUACACAUAUCCGAUUGGUUUUCGUAAAAAUAUCGCGAUAUCGACGGAUAGAGCUGAUACGUUUUGGUCAAAAACGGCGUCGGAAGCGAUCUUUGCGAAUCUCCUCCGCCUCCACUGCUUCCAGUAGGCGCCGAGUCGCCGUUCUGCUCGGCCGGCAAUGAGGACAUGGUUUUUUGGCCUUUGGCUUCUCGGAUCUGAGCUCUAAUAGCAACUGAUAUACCAAAAAUCCGUUCAACAAAUAAAUAAAUAAAAAACGUUAUUUUAUUUAAUUAAAAUGAUUUAACGCUCCGUUUGGUUGCCGAGAAACCGCGGAGGAUUAGAAAACAAAAAUUUCUAGAGAUAUGAAAUUUUACUUCCUAUUAUUUUUUGUGUAAUUAGAUUUCUAGGUAUUGGAAAUGGAAAAUUCAAUAUAAAAAAUGGAAUUAAAUCAAGGAGCCGGCGUGUAUUACCUGGAAAGCGUGGAUUUAAGGGUUUGGGGAUGAACAGAGAGUAGGGAUUUUCCCACCAACCAAACAGAAAAGUUGGAUUGGACAUGAAAGCAGACGAGAUCUCCCACCAACCAAACAGAAAAGUUGGAUUGGAGACGAAAGCCAACUCGAUCGAUCUCGUCUGCUGCUGGUCUUGCUGCAGCAGGCAGUACCGGAAGCAGCAGCUCAGAGAGAGGGAGAGACGAGAGAGAAGAGGGUGAUGAUUUCGAUUUUGUUGUUUCUAAAAGGUUCUGGAGGAGGAGUUAAUGGUAGGACUGUAGGAGGGAGAUGGAAAAAGGGUGUAUUUGUGGGUUCGAGAAGGUAAGGGACA
Molecule: long non-coding RNA, 998 nt
Filed under: Malus domestica (apple)
Lineage: Eukaryota; Viridiplantae; Streptophyta; Magnoliopsida; Rosales; Rosaceae
Description: long non-coding RNA (MDOM_LNC007413)
Source: RNAcentral